RNAcentral lists this long non-coding RNA (466 nucleotides) under Sus scrofa (pig). RNAcentral describes it as "lncRNA (ENSSSCG00070011399.1)". Lineage: Eukaryota; Metazoa; Chordata; Mammalia; Artiodactyla; Suidae. The record is from RNAcentral.
UUUUUUUAGUCGACAAUUAUGGCCACUGCAGAAGGGACCAGAGCAGACUUCUCUCCUUUACCUGAACUCUAUAAGGAAGGUACCCCCCAGCAGAGGUCCCCUGUGCCCGUCCGUCUCCUCAGGGAGUCCAGAAGAAUUUGGAAUUCGUGACCCUGGUGGGAUUUCCCUUUGCCCUGACUAACAUCUUCAUCACUUGGGGUAUUUGAGGACCAGCUUGCCUGCUGAUGGACCAGACCCAGUGGCCACAACCAGGACCCUUUGGUCCCUGGACUCCUCUUCAUGUGGACAACUGGCCAGAGUGCCCUGACUGGAGUAUUGGUGAAGAUUAAUGCAAUUUGAAGAACUUCGAAAAGAAGAAGCAAGCUGUUCGUGUACAGGACGACUCAACCAGGAAAGUUCAGUGUAUACAACUGGUCACUUAAAGAUUUGUCUUCAAGAAGCAAAAGCAGGCCUGCAAAGUAUCUGA